AUUGAACGCUGGCGGCAUGCCUUACACAUGCAAGUCGAACGGCAGCACGGGGGCAACCCUGGUGGCGAGUGGCGAACGGGUGAGUAAUACAUCGGAACGUGCCCGAUAGUGGGGGAGUAGCUCGGCGAAAGCCGGAUUAAUACCGCAUACGACCUACGGGUGAAAGCGGGGAGUCGCAAGACCUCGCGCUAUCAGAGCGGCCGAUGUCAGAUUAGGUUGUUGGUGGGGUAAAGGCCUACCAAGCCGACGAUCUGUAGCUGGUCUGAGAGGACGA
This 274-nucleotide ribosomal RNA is filed under the name uncultured bacterium. RNAcentral's name for it is "partial 16S ribosomal RNA". It matches the Rfam family "Bacterial small subunit ribosomal RNA", at positions 30 to 303 of the family's 1533-position model. The record is from RNAcentral.